This 388-nucleotide ribosomal RNA is filed under the name uncultured bacterium. RNAcentral describes it as "bacterial SSU rRNA". It matches the Rfam family "Bacterial small subunit ribosomal RNA", at positions 28 to 419 of the family's 1533-position model. The record is from RNAcentral.
GACGAACGCUGGCGGCGUGCUUAACACAUGCAAGUCGAGCGGUAAGGCCCUUUCGGGGUACACGAGCGGCGAACGGGUGAGUAACACGUGGGUGACCUGCCCUCAGCUCUGGGAUAAGCCCGGGAAACUGGGUCUAAUACCGGAUAUGACUCCAUGACGCAUGUUGUGGGGUGGAAAGCCUUGUGCGGCUGAGGAUGGGCCCGCGGCCUAUCAGCUUGUUGGUGGGGUGAUGGCCACCAAGGCGACGACGGGUAGCCGGCCUGAGAGGGCGACCGGCCACACUGGGACUGAGAUACGGCCCAGACUCCUACGGGAGGCAGCAGUGGGGAAUCUUGCGCAAUGGGCGAAAGCCUGACGCAGCGACGCCGCGUGAGGGAUGACGGCCUGG